GACGAACGCUGGCGGCGUGCUUAACACAUGCAAGUCGAGCGGAAAGGCCCUGCUUUUGUGGGGUGCUCGAGUGGCGAACGGGUGAGUAACACGUGAGUAACCUGCCCUUGACUUUGGGAUAACUUCAGGAAACUGGGGCUAAUACCGGAUAGGAGCUCCUGCUGCAUGGUGGGGGUUGGAAAGUUUCGGCGGUUGGGGAUGGACUCGCGGCUUAUCAGCUUGUUGGUGGGGUAGUGGCUUACCAAGGCUUUGACGGGUAGCCGGCCUGGGAGGGUGACCGGCCACAUUGGGACUGAGAAACGGCCCAGACUCCUACGGGAGGCAGCAGUGGGGAAUAUUGCACAAUGGGCGGAAGCCUGAUGCAGCAACGCCGCGUGCGGGAUGACGGCCUUCGGGUUGUAAACCGCUUUCGCCUGUGACGAAGCGUGAGUGACGGUAAUGGGUAAAGAAGCACCGGCUAACUACGUG
RNAcentral lists this ribosomal RNA (468 nucleotides) under uncultured bacterium. RNAcentral describes it as "partial 16S ribosomal RNA". It matches the Rfam family "Bacterial small subunit ribosomal RNA", at positions 28 to 507 of the family's 1533-position model. The record is from RNAcentral.